UACAGAGGGUGCAAGCGUUGUUCGGAAUUAUUGGGCGUAAAGCGCGUGUAGGCGGCUUUGCAAGUCGGGUGUGAAAGCCCUCAGCUCAACUGAGGAAGUGCGUCCGAAACUGCAGAGCUUGAGUACCGGAGAGGAUGGCGGAAUUCCCCAAGUAGAGGUGAAAUUCGUAGAUAUGGGGAGGAACACCGGUGGCGAAGGCGGCCAUCUGGACGGAUACUGACGCUGAGACGCGAAAGCGUGGGGAGCAAACAGG
RNAcentral lists this ribosomal RNA (253 nucleotides) under uncultured bacterium. Its description in RNAcentral is "partial 16S ribosomal RNA". It matches the Rfam family "Bacterial small subunit ribosomal RNA", at positions 524 to 776 of the family's 1533-position model. The record is from RNAcentral.